UGACCCGUCUUGAAACACGGACCAAGGAGUUUAUCGUGUGCGCAAGUCAUUGGGUGUUGAAAACUCAAAGGCGCAAUGAAAGUAAAGAAUCCGCAAGGAUACGACGUGUGAUCUGAGCAAUCACGAUUGCCUGGAGCAACAUGGCCCCAUUCUGGUCGCUUGCGACGGGGUGGAGGAAGAGCGUACGCGGUGAGACCCGAAAGAUGGUGAACUAUUCCUGAGCAGGAUGAAGCCAGAGGAAACUCUGGUGGAAGUCCGAAGCGAUUCUGACGUGCAAAUCGAUCGUCUGACUUGGGUAUAGGGGCGAAAGACUAAUCGAACCAUCUAGUAGCUGGUUCCUUCCGA
RNAcentral lists this ribosomal RNA (345 nucleotides) under Pratylenchus penetrans. RNAcentral's name for it is "partial large subunit ribosomal RNA". It matches the Rfam family "Eukaryotic large subunit ribosomal RNA", at positions 645 to 964 of the family's 3401-position model. Lineage: Eukaryota; Metazoa; Nematoda; Chromadorea; Rhabditida; Pratylenchidae. The record is from RNAcentral.